This 253-nucleotide ribosomal RNA is filed under the name uncultured bacterium. Its description in RNAcentral is "partial 16S ribosomal RNA". It matches the Rfam family "Bacterial small subunit ribosomal RNA", at positions 524 to 776 of the family's 1533-position model. The record is from RNAcentral.
UACGUAGGGGGCAAGCGUUGUCCGGAAUCAUUGGGCGUAAAGAGCGUGUAGGCGGCCAGAAAAGUCCGCUGUGAAAACUCGAGGCUCAACUUCGAGCUGUCGGUGGAAACUUUCUGGCUAGAGUCCGGAAGAGGAGAAUGGAAUUCCUGGUGUAGCGGUGAAAUGCGCAGAUAUCAGGAGGAACACCGGUGGCGAAGGCGGGUCUUUGGGCAACAACUGACGCUGAGGAGCGAAAGCGUGGGGAGCGAACAGG